Long non-coding RNA from Sinocyclocheilus grahami, 278 nucleotides. RefSeq lists it as uncharacterized. NCBI's taxonomy places the organism in Eukaryota, Metazoa, Chordata, Actinopteri, Cypriniformes, Cyprinidae. The transcript is spliced from 4 exons. The record is from RefSeq and is a predicted model, not a curated record.
GAAACGGCAUUUUAAAACACAACAGAGACCAUUAUGUAAUUCAGGUACGCCUAGGGUUGCCUUAACGACAAAGGGUUUAGUUCAUUGCCAACACCCAUCUACACUAGAAAGGGAAUCCUCCCUUCAAUGUACCAAACCACUGAACCUGACACAGGUUGUAAACUGCUCAGUUGUUGGACAAUCAAAUUUGUAAAUGGUUGAAAUCGCUGUCCAGGGAAGGCUGGGUUGUCUCUUGGUUGAAAACUUAAAUAAGACCUUAAAGCGAAGCAGAGAAGGAU